Molecule: ribosomal RNA, 253 nt
Filed under: uncultured bacterium
Lineage: Bacteria
Description: partial 16S ribosomal RNA
Rfam family: Bacterial small subunit ribosomal RNA
Source: RNAcentral
UACGAAGGGGGCUAGCGUUGCUCGGAAUCACUGGGCGUAAAGCGCACGUAGGCGGAUUGUUAAGUCAGGGGUGAAAUCCUGGAGCUCAACUCCAGAACUGCGUCUGAUACUGGCGAGCUUGAGUUCGGGAGAGGUGAGUGGAACUGCGAGUGUAGAGGUGAAAUUCGUAGAUAUUCGCAAGAACACCAGUGGCGAAGGCGGCUCACUGGCCCGAUACUGACGCUGAGGUGCGAAAGCGUGGGGAGCAAACAGG